GAGUCAAUGUGGAGGCUAUAUACAGGGUAUUACGGUACAGAGUCAAUGUGGAGGCUAUAUACAGGGGGUACCGGUACAGAGUCAAUGUGGAGGCUAUAUACAGGGGGUACCGGUACAGAGUCAAUGUGGAGGCUAUAUACAGGGGGGUACCGGUACAGAGUCAAUGUGGAGGCUAUAUACAGGGGGUACUGGUACAGAGUCAAUGUGGAGGCUAUAUACAGGGGGUACCGGUACAGAGUCAAUGUGGAGGCUAUAUACAGGGGGUACCAGUACAGAGUCAAUAUGGAGGCUAUAUACAGGGGGUACCGGUACAGAGUCAAUGUGGAGGCUAUAUACAGGGGGUACCGGUACAGAGUCAAUGUGGAGGCUAUAUACAGGGGGUACCGGUACAGAGUCAAUGUGGAGGCUAUAUACAGGGGGUACCGGUACAGAGUCAAUGUGGAGGCUAUAUACAGGGGGUACCGGUACAGAGUCAAUGUGGAGGCUAUAUACAGGGGGGUACCGGUACAGAGUCAAAGUGGAGGCUAUAUACAGGGGGUACUGGUACAGAGUCAAUGUGGAGGCUAUAUACAGGGGGUACCGGUACAGAGUCAAUGUGGAGGCUAUAUACAGGGG
This 615-nucleotide long non-coding RNA is filed under the name Salmo salar (Atlantic salmon). RNAcentral's name for it is "lncRNA (ENSSSAG00000091112.1, ENSSSAG00000100337.1)". Lineage: Eukaryota; Metazoa; Chordata; Actinopteri; Salmoniformes; Salmonidae. The record is from RNAcentral.